UGGCAACGGGUGAGUAACACGUGGGAAAUCUGCCCUGCACUCUGGGACAAGCCUUGGAAACGAGGUCUAAUACCGGAUAUGACCUUCCCUCGCAUGGGGGUUGGUGGAAAGCUCCGGCGGUGCAGGAUGAUCCCGCGGCCUAUCAGCUUGUUGGUGGGGUAACGGCCCACCAAGGCGACGACGGGUAGCCGGCCUGAGAGGGCGACCGGCCACACUGGGACUGAGACACGGCCCAG
This 236-nucleotide ribosomal RNA is filed under the name uncultured bacterium. RNAcentral's name for it is "partial 16S ribosomal RNA". It matches the Rfam family "Bacterial small subunit ribosomal RNA", at positions 101 to 334 of the family's 1533-position model. The record is from RNAcentral.